This 253-nucleotide ribosomal RNA is filed under the name uncultured bacterium. RNAcentral's name for it is "partial 16S ribosomal RNA". It matches the Rfam family "Bacterial small subunit ribosomal RNA", at positions 524 to 776 of the family's 1533-position model. The record is from RNAcentral.
UACGUAGGGGGCAAGCGUUGUCCGGAAUUAUUGGGCGUAAAGAGUUCGUAGGCGGUUUGUCGCGUCGAAUGUGAAAUCCCGGGGCUCAACCCCGGGUCUGCAUUCGAUACGGGCAGACUAGAGUUCGGUAGGGGAGUCUGGAAUUCCUGGUGUAGCGGUGAAAUGCGCAGAUAUCAGGAGGAACACCGGUGGCGAAGGCGGGACUCUGGGCCGAUACUGACGCUGAGGAGCGAAAGCGUGGGGAGCAAACAGG